Molecule: ribosomal RNA, 563 nt
Filed under: uncultured bacterium
Lineage: Bacteria
Description: partial 16S ribosomal RNA
Rfam family: Bacterial small subunit ribosomal RNA
Source: RNAcentral
UAGGGAAUCUUGCGCAAUGGGCGAAAGCCUGACGCAGCCAUGCCGCGUGAAUGAUGAAGGUCUUAGGAUUGUAAAAUUCUUUCACCGGGGAAGAUAAUGACGGUACCCGGAGAAGAAGCCCCGGCUAACUUCGUGCCAGCAGCCGCGGUAAUACGAAGGGGGCUAGCGUUGCUCGGAAUUACUGGGCGUAAAGGGCGCGUAGGCGGAUAUCUAAGUUGGGGGUGAAAGCCCGGGGCUCAACCUCGGAAUAGCCUUCAAUACUGGAUAUCUUGAGUUCGGGAGAGGUGAGUGGAAUGCCGAGUGUAGAGGUGAAAUUCGUAGAUAUUCGGCGGAACACCAGUGGCGAAGGCGACUCACUGGCCCGAUACUGACGCUGAGGCGCGAAAGCGUGGGGAGCAAACAGGAUUAGAUACCCUGGUAGUCCACGCCGUAAACGAUGAGUGCUAGUUGUCGGCAUGCAUGCAUGUCGGUGACGCAGCUAACGCAUUAAGCACUCCGCCUGGGGAGUACGGUCGCAAGAUUAAAAACUUAAAGGAAUUGACGGGGGUCAUAGCUGUUUCCUG